CCUACGGCGGGCAGCAGUGGGGAAUAUUGGACAAUGGGGGGAACCCUGAUCCAGCCAUGCCGCGUGUGUGAAGAAGGCCCUCGGGUUGUAAAGCACUUUCAGUGAGGAAGAACGCCUGGUGGUUAAUACCCAUCAGGAAAGACAUCACUCACAGAAGAAGCACCGGCUAACUCCGUGCCAGCAGCCGCGGUAAUACGGAGGGUGCGAGCGUUAAUCGGAAUUACUGGGCGUAAAGCGCGCGUAGGUGGCUUGAUAAGCCGGUUGUGAAAGCCCCGGGCUCAACCUGGGAACGGCAUCCGGAACUGUCAAGCUAGAGUGCAGGAGAGGAAGGUAGAAUUCCCGGUGUAGCGGUGAAAUGCGUAGAGAUCGGGAGGAAUACCAGUGGCGAAGGCGGCCUUCUGGACUGACACUGACACUGAGGUGCGAAAGCGUGGGUAGCAAACAGGAUUAGAUACCCUGGUAGUC
RNAcentral lists this ribosomal RNA (465 nucleotides) under Vreelandella stevensii. RNAcentral's name for it is "partial 16S ribosomal RNA". It matches the Rfam family "Bacterial small subunit ribosomal RNA", at positions 338 to 795 of the family's 1533-position model. The record is from RNAcentral. Lineage: Bacteria; Pseudomonadati; Pseudomonadota; Gammaproteobacteria; Oceanospirillales; Halomonadaceae.